UACAGAGGGUGCAAGCGUUGUUCGGAAUUACUGGGCGUAAAGCGCGCGCAGGCGGCUAUCCAAGUCAGUGGUGAAAGCCCGGAGCUCAACUCCGGAACUGCCAUUGAAACUGUUUAGCUUGAGGACGAGAGAGGUGAGUGGAAUUCCCAGUGUAGAGGUGAAAUUCGUAGAUAUUGGGAAGAACACCGGUGGCGAAGGCGGCUCACUGGCUCGUAUCUGACGCUCAGGCGCGACAGCGUGGGGAUCAAACAGG
RNAcentral lists this ribosomal RNA (253 nucleotides) under uncultured bacterium. RNAcentral describes it as "partial 16S ribosomal RNA". It matches the Rfam family "Bacterial small subunit ribosomal RNA", at positions 524 to 776 of the family's 1533-position model. The record is from RNAcentral.